AGCAGCCGCGGUAAUUCCAGCUCCAAUAGCGUAUAUUAAAGUUGUUGCAGUUAAAAGCUGUAGUUGAAUUUCGGGUCGUGGAAGGGUUUGGUCAAAAGCCUUACUCUUCUGUUGCUCUACUGUCUGGCGUAAGUCAGACCUUUUACUGUGAAGAAAUUAGAGUGUUUAAAAGCAGGCUAUGCUUGAAUACAUUAGCAUGGAAUAAUAAAAUAGGGACUCGAGUUCUAUUUUGUUG
RNAcentral lists this ribosomal RNA (235 nucleotides) under uncultured Glomeromycotina. RNAcentral describes it as "partial small subunit ribosomal RNA". It matches the Rfam family "Eukaryotic small subunit ribosomal RNA", at positions 569 to 847 of the family's 1831-position model. Lineage: Eukaryota; Fungi; Glomeromycota. The record is from RNAcentral.